GAGAUUAUAGUUAAUUAUAACAUUUAAUUUGCAAUUAAAAAUUAUCUUUUGGAUUUUUCUCA
This 62-nucleotide transfer RNA is filed under the name Stephanitis nashi. Its description in RNAcentral is "tRNA-Ala". Lineage: Eukaryota; Metazoa; Arthropoda; Insecta; Hemiptera; Tingidae. The record is from RNAcentral.